RNAcentral lists this ribosomal RNA (445 nucleotides) under uncultured bacterium. RNAcentral's name for it is "partial 16S ribosomal RNA". It matches the Rfam family "Bacterial small subunit ribosomal RNA", at positions 354 to 796 of the family's 1533-position model. The record is from RNAcentral.
GUGAGGAAUAUUGGUCAAUGGACGAGAGUCUGAACCAGCCAAGUAGCGUGAAGGAUGAAGGUCCUACGGAUUGUAAACUUCUUUUAUAAGGGAAUAAACCCUCCCACGUGUGGGAGCUUGUAUGUACCUUAUGAAUAAGCAUCGGCUAACUCCGUGCCAGCAGCCGCGGUAAUACGGAGGAUGCGAGCGUUAUCCGGAUUUAUUGGGUUUAAAGGGAGCGCAGACGGGUCGUUAAGUCAGCUGUGAAAGUUUGGGGCUCAACCUUAAAAUUGCAGUUGAUACUGGCGUCCUUGAGUGCGGUUGAGGUGUGCGGAAUUCGUGGUGUAGCGGUGAAAUGCUUAGAUAUCACGAAGAACUCCGAUUGCGAAGGCAGCACACUAAGCCGUAACUGACGUUCAUGCUCGAAAGUGUGGGUAUCAAACAGGAUUAGAAACCCCGGUAGUCC